GAUGAACGCUGGCGGCGUGCCUAAUACAUGCAAGUCGAGCGAACAGACGAGGAGCUUGCUCCUCUGACGUUAGCGGCGGACGGGUGAGUAACACGUGGAUAACCUACCUAUAAGACUGGGAUAACUUCGGGAAACCGGAGCUAAUACCGGAUAAUAUAUUGAACCGCAUGGUUCAAUAGUGAAAGACGGUUUUGCUGUCACUUAUAGAUGGAUCCGCGCCGCAUUAGCUAGUUGGUAAGGUAACGGCUUACCAAGGCAACGAUGCGUAGCCGACCUGAGAGGGUGAUCGGCCACCCUGGAACUGAGACACGGUCCAGACUCCUACGGGAGGCAGCAGUAGGGAAUCUUCCGCAAUGGGCGAAAGCCUGACGGAGCAACGCCGCGUGAGUGAUGAAGGUCUUCGGAUCGUAAAACUCUGUUAUUAGGGAAGAACAAAUGUGUAAGUAACUAUGCACGUCUUGACGGUACCUAAUCAGAAAGCCACGGCUAACUCCGUG
RNAcentral lists this ribosomal RNA (497 nucleotides) under uncultured bacterium. Its description in RNAcentral is "partial 16S ribosomal RNA". It matches the Rfam family "Bacterial small subunit ribosomal RNA", at positions 28 to 507 of the family's 1533-position model. The record is from RNAcentral.